This 85-nucleotide non-coding RNA is filed under the name unclassified sequences. RNAcentral describes it as "c-di-GMP sequence". It matches the Rfam family "c-di-GMP-II-GAG riboswitch aptamer". The record is from Rfam by way of RNAcentral.
GCGUUGGCGGGAGCCUCUGACACGCGGCCCACAUUCUGGCCGCCGGGACCGCGCCGAGCCACUGGCGAGACCGACCCGCUGAGGC